RNAcentral lists this ribosomal RNA (484 nucleotides) under uncultured bacterium. RNAcentral describes it as "partial 16S ribosomal RNA". It matches the Rfam family "Bacterial small subunit ribosomal RNA", at positions 30 to 507 of the family's 1533-position model. The record is from RNAcentral.
AUUGAACGCUGGCGGCAGGCCUAACACAUGCAAGUCGAGCGGAUGAAGGGAGCUUGCUCCUGGAUUCAGCGGCGGACGGGUGAGUAAUGCCUAGGAAUCUGCCUGGUAGUGGGGGAUAACGUCCGGAAACGGGCGCUAAUACCGCAUACGUCCUGCGGGUGAAAGUGGGGGAUCUUUGGACCUCACGCUCUCAGAUGAGCCUAGGUCGGAUUAGCUAGUUGGUGGGGUAAAGGCCUACCAAGGCGACGAUCCGUAACUGGUCUGAGAGGAUGAUCAGUCACACUGGAACUGAGACACGGUCCAGACGACUACGGGAGGCAGCAGUGGGGAAUAUUGGACAAUGGGCGAAAGCCUGAUACAGCCAGGCCGCGUGUGUGAAGAAGGUCUUCGGAGUGUAAAGCACUUUAAGUUGGGAGGAAGGGCAGUAAGUUAAUACCUUGCUGUUUUGACGUUACCAACAGAAUAAGCACCGGCUAACUUCGUG